Molecule: ribosomal RNA, 429 nt
Filed under: uncultured Glomeromycotina
Lineage: Eukaryota; Fungi; Glomeromycota
Description: SSU rRNA
Rfam family: Eukaryotic small subunit ribosomal RNA
Source: RNAcentral
AGCAGCCGCGGUAAUUCCAGCUCCAAUAGCGUAUAUUAAAGUUGUUGCAGUUAAAAAGCUCGUAGUUGAAUUUCGGGAUCAAUACGUCGGUCGUGCUCCGGUACGUACUGGCAUUAUUGGUUUCUACCUUCUGAAGAACCUCGAUGUCAUUAAUUUGGUGUCUUGGGGAAUCAGGACUGUUACUUUGAAAAAUUGAGUGUUUAAAGCAGGCUCGCGCUUGAAUACAUUAGCAUGGAAUAGUGAAAUAGGACGUUUGAUUCUAUUUUGUUGGUUUCUAGGAUCGACGUAAUGAUUAAUAGGGAUAGUUGGGGGCAUUAGUAUUCAAUUGUCAGAGGUGAAAUUCUUGGAUUUAUUGAAGACUAACUACUGCGAAAGCAUUUGCCAAGGAUGUUUUCAUUAAUCAAGAACGAAAGUUAGGGGAUCGAAGAC